UUUUACAAACUAAAUUGAAAUGUCAUUCACUUCAACCAUUACGAUUACAAGAAACUUCAAAUCUUGCUUGAACUUCAAAUCACUACAAAAACUUGCUUAAACUUCAAAUCACUAGCAUCCAAACUCAAGAUAGGAUCUGCAACAGUUCAUGAAACUCAGCGGAUUUCACUACGAUAUCACCUGGCUGCAAAGAGAAAUACACAAUAAGCGACUUCAUCCAAACUCAAAACAUGGAUGAAUAUAGCAUACUUGAUGAAUUUAGUACUACCAGCCAGUUAAGUUAUAUGGUGGAAUAAGACAUGUUAGUUGACAAGAAUAUAUUACAACAAUAACAACAUAAUACACAGUGAAAUUUCACAAGCGGGUUUGGGAAAGGUAGAAUAUACGCACAAGUAAUGACUUAUCCCCAGUUACGCUUGUCAGGGAGCAAAAGGAAAACAAUUACUAUUGUUUAUGUCCAGCCAAAUAAUACAACUUACAGAGUUAAGAGCCUGCUCAAGAAAUACAUCAGUAGCUACCUUUUUGUGUAACUCAAACCAAUUGGGUCUGCGAUGGCCACAAGCCACUACUCCCCUGUACUAAUUUUACUUUUUAAUGAAAUGCUUCAUAUUUCCUUACCAAAAAAAAAGUAACAACAAAUGGGUCCUAGUUAGAUAAAGUCUAAAGAUUAAUUCAUUGGGAAAAGAAAUUAAUUAGUAAUAUCUAUAUGGCUAGAUCUCACAUUAGUUGUACACUGAAAUGUACCUCUAAUCCUUAAUUCUUUGAAGUAUCAAAGUUCCAGAGAAAAAGAUUUUACUUACCAAUGCCAACCACCUUGCUAUGCCUAUAUAACAUAAUUAUAGGUGCAGUAAGUUCUCAAGACAAUGUAAAAUAUUCAUUAAACAACACCAACAACUAUAUAAAAGCUAUAACUUGAAAUGUAAAAGUCCAACUAGUGAAUUAGAAAAUACCAGUUACUAUUCAGAUGAUCAAUUAUAAUUUUUUGAAAAGGCACAAUUACUAAAAAUAAUGUGACCUCUCAAAACUGAACAUGAGUCUAAUGAUGCUUAGGAUUGGGUCUGUUGGGAGAAAUUGAAUUUUGCUUGCAAAAAGAGUCCACUGGCCAUCCAAGAUGUAAUCUUGGCAAUAAUCUUGUCCACUAAGGGUUUAAUUGGACUAUUGUAAGCCUUUUAGGUGUCGUUUAAUACAAAGAUUAAUAAUGUAGGGAUUAGUAAUGCAAGGUUCCUUAGUAAAAUUGUUUGGCACACCUAGAUAUUUGAAACAGAGUUCUCCAACCUCAUAUCCAAGCAUAGUCAAGAUGGUUUCCUUAGUAAAUUUGUUAAUACCUUCAAAACAUACCUGACUUUUCAAAAUGAUGGUCUUCAAAUCAGAAGCAUCAGAAAACAUAUUGAAUUUACCCCUCGAUAGUUGUAGUUGUAUAGAUCUGACAUCUCAUCUAGUAAAUAUAGUAAGUCAACAGCAACAAAGUACUGAUUCAAAACUGAUGUCAACAUCUAGAUGGAAAAAAAUGUUUCAUCAAACUUUCUUAGUUGUAAAUCAGCACAACUACAAAGAAAAAAGACAUUCUUGCAACUCUUCCAAAUCUGUUUGGGUUAAAGGAAUUUUGCAUUUAACUAUCAUUCCAUCUUCACUAACUAUCUAAAGGACAAAAUCAAAUAAAAAAAUACAAUAAACUCACAAGAUUUGUAGAGCGUCGCAGAACUUGAGCGAGUUGUGCAUGACUGCUUAUAAGAGCUUUUAUCUUCUUCAACAAUGCAGCCACAAAUAUUGACACUAUAGCACGAAAAAAUAGUGCAAACUGUCUUAAAGAAAGAUCUCAUCAGAAAAAUGAGAACCAAAUUUAAAAAGAAUAGCUGAAAAGUAGAUGAAACUUACGGAAAUAGCUGGGAAUAUAGACGAAAUCAGGUUCAGUAAUGUGGGAGGAGAUAGUG
RNAcentral lists this long non-coding RNA (1931 nucleotides) under Solanum tuberosum (potato). RNAcentral's name for it is "long non-coding RNA (STUB_LNC009495)". Lineage: Eukaryota; Viridiplantae; Streptophyta; Magnoliopsida; Solanales; Solanaceae. The record is from RNAcentral.